AUGGCCAAUCCCCCCAAUUUCCAUGCGGCCUCAUUCGAUGGGGCCGUGGAGAACACCGAGUUCAACUUCCGUAGCUUGUAUUUACACCACAUUUUUUCUGGACCAAAUCCAACCCAAGCAGGCAUCGUAAGUAAAGAUGCUACCACUGGGUGGGGAUCGACAGUAGUUAACAACUGGCCCAUAUAUGAUGGGGUUGGCCAUGACGCAAAGCUACUGGCCCGCGCACAAGGGCUGCAUAUCAACGCUGGUAGUUGGCACAAUUCCUUCACUAUUGUGUUCGAGACUGAAAGGUUUAAGGAAAGCACACUUCAGGUAAUGGGAACAUCUGUUCAUGAAGGUCAGUGGUCUAUUGUUGGUGGGACGGCUGACCUUGCGAUGGCACGUGGUGUCAUAGAGAAAAAACUACAUGAGAAAAAAAAUGGUGGAGACAUAAUCGAGCUUACCAUCCAUGGGUUCUGCCACAUGCAGAUACCCACUCUUGUAAAGAGUGGCCCUUGGGGUGGCAAUGGAGGUUCCGCUGUUGAUUCAGAGAAACCCUCAAGGAUAGAAAGUAUCACCAUCCUUUAUAAAGGAAUAAUUGCUUCAUUUGAAUAUACUUACAUCGAUUAUUAUGGCAACAGGCGCACAUCAGGUCCUUGGGGUAGUGAGAAUCCCAAUUGCGCUGAGAUCAUGUUGGGCCCGGGGGAAAUUGUGACAGCAGUGUCUGGAACGGUUAUUAAACAUGAUACUUACGUGGGGACUAAAGUCGAUGUUGUGCAGACACUCAAGUUUGUCACAAAGAAGAAAACCUACGGACCUUACGGGAAUCUUGACUAUAAUAAAGAACUUGGUACUCCUUUCAGCGCCGUUGCACCUGAUGACAAAGCAAUUGUUGGCUUCUUCGGGCGUACUGAUGACAAAUACCUAAAUGAAAUUGGCGUAUAUAUUGCCUAG
Molecule: ribosomal RNA, 933 nt
Filed under: Triticum aestivum (bread wheat)
Lineage: Eukaryota; Viridiplantae; Streptophyta; Magnoliopsida; Poales; Poaceae
Description: partial small subunit ribosomal RNA
Source: RNAcentral